CAAAAACAUUGCGGAGCACCCACCAACCUCUGCUAUGUUCUCUGGAAACCUUUCUUUGGAAUUGGUUGAUGAAUCCCCUUGGAGAAUAAAAAGAACCUGCUUUUGUGGCAAUUAUAGAGCAUGACUUUUAUGCGAAGAUGAUAUCACAGUGUUAUUAGUGUAUUUAAUUUUGCUGAAGAAUCUUAUGCAUCUUGGUUUAUUUGAGCUGCUUCCUCAUGGUUAAAUUAUUGUCAGAGCAGUUCCUGCACUUCAAGGUGGAUACUACCACCAUUUAUUUGAAUGGUCUUGGAAUUACGACAUCGGGGCAUGGAAAUGGGAUCCUUGUGCUCAUGGAAUUUGUUGAAUUAGAAUUAGCAAGAUGGAAGAAAAUUCAGAAGCAGCUUUGCUUCAACUACUAUGUAUGACUAACAACAAAUUGCUGAUGUAUACAACCUGCAAUUUUAUGCUACAGCCUAUACCGUAAACUAUUCAGUCUUUUCUCCUUGUUUGAAACUUCGCUUUUUACUAGUUUAUUGUAGAUCAGCUACAUGUUGCAAUUUUUAUUGUAAGAAAUCUGAUAAUUGCUGUAAUUAUAAAGUGCAGAUUCAAAAUCAAUCUACAUCUG
Molecule: long non-coding RNA, 604 nt
Organism: Phalaenopsis equestris
Lineage: Eukaryota; Viridiplantae; Streptophyta; Magnoliopsida; Asparagales; Orchidaceae
Exons: 3
Source: RefSeq, a predicted model, not a curated record